RNAcentral lists this ribosomal RNA (492 nucleotides) under uncultured bacterium. Its description in RNAcentral is "partial 16S ribosomal RNA". It matches the Rfam family "Bacterial small subunit ribosomal RNA", at positions 29 to 507 of the family's 1533-position model. The record is from RNAcentral.
AGUGAACGCUGGCGGUAGGCCUAACACAUGCAAGUCGAACGGCAGCACAGUAAGAGCUUGCUCUUACGGGUGGCGAGUGGCGGACGGGUGAGGAAUACAUCGGAAUCUACUUUUUCGUGGGGGAUAACGUAGGGAAACUUACGCUAAUACCGCAUACGACCUACGGGUGAAAGCAGGGGAUCUUCGGACCUUGCGCGAUUGAAUGAGCCGAUGUCGGAUUAGCUAGUUGGCGGGGUAAAGGCCCACCAAGGCAACGAUUCGUAGCUGGUCUGAGAGGAUGAUCCGCCCCACUGGAACUUAGAAACGGUCCAGAAUCCUACGGGAGGCAGCAGUGGGGAAAUUUGGGCAAUGGGCGGAAGCCUGGCUCAGCAAAACCGCGUGGGUGAAGAAGGGCUUCGGGGUGGAAAACCCUUUUUUUGGGGAAGAAAAAAAGGAUGUUUAAAACCCCACGUUUUGACGGGAACCAAAAAAAAAGCCACGGCUAACUUCGUG